Molecule: ribosomal RNA, 444 nt
Filed under: uncultured bacterium
Lineage: Bacteria
Description: SSU rRNA
Rfam family: Bacterial small subunit ribosomal RNA
Source: RNAcentral
AGAACGAACGCUGGCGGCAGGCUUAACACAUGCAAGUCGAACGCGUGUAGCAAUACACGAGUGGCGCACGGGUGAGUAACGCGUGGAUAUCUGCCUUUUGGUUCGGAAUAACCCCGGGAAACUGGGGCUAAUACCGGAUGGUUCCUACGGGAUAAAGAUUUAUCGCCAAAAGAUGAGUCCGCGUCCGAUUAGCUAGUUGGUGGGGUAAUGGCCUACCAAGGCGACGAUCGGUAGCUGGUCUGAGAGGACGAUCAGCCACACUGGGACUGAGACACGGCCCAGACUCCUACGGGAGGCAGCAGUGGGGAAUAUUGGACAAUGGGGGCAACCCUGAUCCAGCCAUGCCGCGUGAGUGAUGAAGGCCUUCGGGUUGUAAAGCUCUUUUGGCGGGGACGAUGAUGACGGUACCGCAGAAUAGCCCGGCUAACUCGUGCCAGCAGCCGC